GCGCCUGUAGCUCAGGGGAUAGAGCAGCGGUUUCCUAAACCGCGGGCCGGAGGUUCAAAUCCUUCCAGGCGCA
Molecule: transfer RNA, 73 nt
Filed under: Rubrobacter sp.
Lineage: Bacteria; Bacillati; Actinomycetota; Rubrobacteria; Rubrobacterales; Rubrobacteraceae
Also listed under: 1 other name
Description: tRNA-Arg
Rfam family: tRNA
About the family: Transfer RNA (tRNA) molecules are approximately 80 nucleotides in length. Their secondary structure includes four short double-helical elements and three loops (D, anti-codon, and T loops).
Source: RNAcentral